AUGCAACAAGAUUCCUUCAGGCAAGUUAAUGAUGCGUUGGGCAUCCUCAUCACUCCUGUUUUGUCCAGGAAUCCAUGAUUUCCACAAAAGAACAUGUCCCACCAUGCAGACCUGCACACCAACCAUGGGCAAAGCACCUUGGCACAGUCAUACCCUGCUCAGAAAGACCCUACAAGACUGAACAUACAAGUCAUUGGCAGCUCAUCCACUAGUGGUUCUUCAAGACCAUUUUGAAAUAAAUGACAAAUUUCAUCACAAAAUCCCACUUGGAUUAAGUUCCAAAAGUUUUGGGGUGAAAGUUAAGUUUAUUUUGCAAUGCAGGAAAUUACUGAGUAGGUUUGGGAAUGCAUUUUUUUUUGUUUUUUGUAUAAUUUCCAAAAUGUUUUCUUCAAUAUUUAGGAAAAGGGUCAGCGCACAAAAGGGACAAGAAAAUUGGCAAACAAUAUCCCAAACUUCUGGGUCUGGGAGCAGAGAGGAGUUUUGAAAACACGGAUGUCCUGACGCCAUACCAAUGUGACUUAGAUGAUGGCUUUUCCAGAUACGUGUGGGAAUGAUACCUUGGGGACUCAAAUUGGAAUAGGGCCCUGUGCUCAAGGUGGACAAAACAAUCCUGAUUUACAUCCAACAGAAAGAAGAAUGGGCGAUUCUUCCCCAGCCUGGUGUAAACACAUCCCCAGCUAGGUGUGGCAGAAGUAGCAUAUUGGACAGAUGGAAGGGAAAUAUUUUCUAGCAACACAAAAUGCAAACUAGCACUGCCAGAAUCCCCUAAAUUCAAGAAAAUAAGCUUUUUGUGGUAUCUUUUAUGUUCAUGGAUUGUAUGUAUUUCUACGAUGAUUACACUAUGUAUGUGUGUAUACUCAUAAACAUCUUUCCCUGAGAAACCACAGAAUUUUCUAUCUCAUCUACAUCUUUCUCUGGUUAACUAAUAACAAAGCAUAGUAUUAAAAUUACUUGAUUAAAACAAAAAAAAAAAGCACAAGUCAUAGUUAACAGUUUUAACCCUGGAGGCCCUUCAGAGAAAUGUGUAGUAUAAGUAGAAAUGAUGAUAGAUGAUAGUUAUUAUUAUCGCUUUUGUUAUUUAUGCUGAAUAGGGGACAUUUGAUUUUUUUUUCUAUGCCAUCAGUACUAUUGUUAAGCUCUUUAAGGCUCCACCUUCUUAAUCAUUCUGGGGAUAAAAAUAAAGUUCUCUAACUGGAAAUUCUUGUUACCUGACAUAUUUGUCAGGUGGUUUCUUACUCAUUGCCUGUACCUCUAAUAGACGGUGAAAAGUACACAUAGAGAGUAGAACAGAGGAGAGCAGAACAGAGUUGAAUCCACCCCCUUUCACUUCUUGUCUCCCACAGGCUUCCCUUCAGUUUUUUUGUUUUGUUUUGUUUUGGUUUGGUUUGGUUUUUUUGGUAAUGGAAAUCAUCUGGUAUGAAAUCUUUCCAUUACCCUUUUCUACUGUCACUCUUUUAGUGUAUUCAUCUCCUAUUUUGCCUUACUUCACUCAAGUUUUAGAGAAUGAGGUGGCCCUCCUCUUUACUAAAGCUACCCUUACA
This is a non-coding RNA of Phascolarctos cinereus (koala), 1541 nucleotides long. The record is from RefSeq and is a predicted model, not a curated record. NCBI's taxonomy places the organism in Eukaryota, Metazoa, Chordata, Mammalia, Diprotodontia, Phascolarctidae.